Molecule: ribosomal RNA, 776 nt
Filed under: uncultured Neocallimastigales
Lineage: Eukaryota; Fungi; Neocallimastigomycota; Neocallimastigomycetes; Neocallimastigales
Description: partial large subunit ribosomal RNA
Rfam family: Eukaryotic large subunit ribosomal RNA
Source: RNAcentral
AUAGAGACUCAGAGCUGCAUAUCAAUAAGCGGAGGAAAAGAAACUAACAAGGAUUCCCCUAGUAACGGCGAGUGAAGCGGGAAGAGCUCAAAUUUGAAAUCUUCAAGGGUUUCCCUUGACGAAUUGUAGUUUAAAGAAGUGUUUUCUGUUAGAGAGGUGGUAAAAGUUCUUUGGAAUAGGACAUCAUAGAGGGUGAGAAUCCCGUAUUUGAUCACUUUCUACUAACGUUGUGAUACACUUUCAAAGAGUCGGAUUGUUUGGGGAAUGCAGUCCAAAAUGGGUGGUAAAUUUCAUCUAAAGCUAAAUAUUGGCGAGAGACCGAUAGCGAACAAGUACCGUGAGGGAAAGAUGAAAAGAACUUUGAAAAGAGAGUUAAACAGUACGUGAAAUUGUCAAAAGGGAAGCGUUUGACACCAGUGUUGUUUUUCCGAAAAUCAAUUAAGAAUGGCCGGAUUUUAAGUUUCAUGACCUUAAAAGCUUGUUCCUUAUUUUUCAUGUCUUUCUUAAUGCACUUUUCGGUUAACAAGUCAACAUCAAUUUCUUUUGUUGUAAAAGGUUAAGAGGAAGGUGGCUUUACUUUCGGGUAAAGUGUUUAUAGCCUUUUAACUCUGCAAUCGGAGAGAUUGAGGUCUGCAGCGUAGAUCCUUCGGGGUUAGAUACGUUUGUGCUAAGUUAUAGCUUUUCAUAGACAACUUGUUGACUAUGUUUAGUCUUGUAGCUUACUCGCAUGACGCUAUUUUACCUACGCUUAGGAUGUUGAUAGUCACAGCGUGUAC